RNAcentral lists this ribosomal RNA (459 nucleotides) under uncultured bacterium. RNAcentral describes it as "partial 16S ribosomal RNA". It matches the Rfam family "Bacterial small subunit ribosomal RNA", at positions 338 to 795 of the family's 1533-position model. The record is from RNAcentral.
CCUACGAGAGUCUGCAGUGAGGAAUAUUGGUCAAUGGCCGGGAGGCUGAACCAGCCAAGUCGCGUGAGGGCAGACGGCCCUACGGGUUGUAAACCUCUUUUGUCAGGGAGCAAGGUGCAGGACGGGACCUGCUGUGAGAGUACCUGAAGAAAAAGCAUCGGCUAACGCCGGGCCAGCCGCCGCGGUAAGACGGAGGAUGCGAGGGUUAUUCGGAUUUAUUGGGUUUAAAGGGUGCGCAGGCGGAGGCACAAGGCUGCGGUAAAAUCGCGGGGCUCACACCCGCUCCGCCGUUGAAAAUGUGUCCCUUGAGUGCGCGAAGGGUAGGCGGAAUGCGUGGUGUAGCGGUGAAAUGCAUAGAUAUCACGCAGAACUCCGAUCGCGAAGGCAGCCUACCGGCGCGCAACUGACGCUCAUGCACGAAAGCGUGGGUAUCGAACAGGAUUAGAUACCCUAGUAGUC